This 139-nucleotide microRNA precursor is filed under the name Oryza brachyantha (malo sina). RNAcentral's name for it is "MIR812 microRNA precursor family". It matches the Rfam family "MIR812 microRNA precursor family", at positions 33 to 173 of the family's 205-position model. The record is from Rfam by way of RNAcentral. Lineage: Eukaryota; Viridiplantae; Streptophyta; Magnoliopsida; Poales; Poaceae.
UUUGACUCUUUGUCUUAUUUAAAACUUUUUGCAAUUAAUAUUUUUGUUGUUAUUAGAUGACAAAACAUGAAUAAUAUUUUAUGUGUUACUAAUUUUAUUUAUGUUUUUAUAUAUAUUUUAAAUAAGAUGGAUGGUCAAA